CAAUAGCGUAUAUUAUAGUUGUUGCAGUUAAAAAGCUCGUAGUUGGACUUCUGAUGUUGGGAUUCGGUCCACCGCAAGGUGAGCACUGAUGUCCUGAUGUCUUCCUCUCGUAGUUGUUUGGCGCACUUGAUUGGGUGCCGAAUGAAUAUGGGACCUUUACUUUGAAAAAUUAGAGUGUUCAAAGCAGGCGAUCGCUUGAAUACAUUAGCAUGGAAUAAUGGAAAAGGACUGCAACCUCUUCUGUUGGUCUGGGAGGCUGAAGUAAUGAUUAAUAGGGAUAGUUGGGGGCAUUAGUACUUUCCAGUCAGAGGUGAAAUUCUCCAAUUUGGUAAAGACUAACUUAUGCGAAAGCAUUUGCCAAGGAUGUUUUCAUUAAUCAAGAACGAAAGUUAGGGGAUCAAAGAUGAUCAGAUACCAU
Molecule: ribosomal RNA, 418 nt
Filed under: uncultured eukaryote
Lineage: Eukaryota
Description: bacterial SSU rRNA
Rfam family: Eukaryotic small subunit ribosomal RNA
Source: RNAcentral